This 573-nucleotide ribosomal RNA is filed under the name Dirofilaria immitis (dog heartworm nematode). Its description in RNAcentral is "partial small subunit ribosomal RNA". The record is from RNAcentral. Lineage: Eukaryota; Metazoa; Nematoda; Chromadorea; Rhabditida; Onchocercidae.
GUUGUAUUAAGAUAGUAUUACUUAUUUUUAGUUUAUCGAGUGUGUAAUUUUUUGUUCACUGGUAGUUUUUUAAUUGUUUUAUUGAUGUUCCAGAAUAAUCGGCUAUACAUUUUAAUUUUUAACUCUAUUUGUUGUAAUAUUACGAUUUUUUUUGUUUUUUUGUUUUAUGUUUUUUUUUGUAAAAUAUUUAAAUUUAUUUAUGUUUUUUUGUAAUAUUGAAAAUUUGGUGUUUGAACUGGAUUAGUACCCAGGUAAUCAAAAUUUAUUAAUUCGGGAGUAAAGUUUUGUUUAAACCGAAAAAAUAUUGACUGACUUUAGAUUUUUCUUUGGAAUAUGUGUUUUUUUGGAGAGCCCUCUUUUAUAGUGAAUUUUGUUGGCGCAUGUAUGAUUGUUUAGUUUUUACUUUUUUGGUAAUGCUUUGUGUUUUAUACAUUUAAAACAGAUAUAUAUUUGGCUUAUGGAUUUAUUUUUCAUGUGUUACUAUUGUUAAUUUUCUUUGGAUUAAUUUUUAAUUUUUUUGUUGAAAUUGGAAAAGAAAGUAAUUUUUUCUUAAUGUAAUAAUGAAUUUAAUAA